UUUUUUUCACUUUCGUUUAAUUAUAAUUGAGCUAAAAAUAAGAAAUAGUGAAAAAUGGAAAACCAAGAAAAUUCUAUGAAGCUGUUGAUCUUUUCAUUGUCUAUAUUAAUUGAUUCACACUACAAAAGCCAAGAAGAAGAAGAAGAAGAAAAAAACUAGAGACUAAAAACAACCAUUUAAUUCCUCCUUUCAAGUAAAAAAGGAGAAAUUAAUUAAUCCAGCUAAAAUAUCAAACCCACUUCUCAUUACAUCCUCUGAUGAAAAAUAACAUCAUCAAACAUAAAAACACCUUCACCAUGUACAUGAGUUAAAUGUCUUGUUUUUUUCUUUUAAGGAAAAAGAAAGAGAAGAAAGAGAAAAAUAAAAAUAAGAACCCAAUAAGUCACCUUUAUCCAAAAAAACUACUAUUGAUAUCUUUUGUUUUUCUUCAUGGUGAUCUCCAACUUCUUAAGCCAAUGUCAUUGUGUUUCCUUGAAGGAGUUGAGUAUGGUAUAUGCAUCCUUUUUGGCAAGAAACCAAAGAAAUGACCUUGAUGCUCAGAUUUAGGCUUCACUUUGAAGUCAUUUGUUGUUCUUGAUCCAUGACAUUGUCCUAAUAUGAAGAGAAUUAAAAGCAGCCAGAUAACAAGAAGCUGUAGAGGUCUUCUACACAACACCAUGUUGAUGUUGUGUAACAAAGUUUCACUAUGGAUUUUCUAGAUGAAAGAUGUGUUUACAAGUUGAAUGUUGAAACAACUAGGUUUUUAGGCAAAUGAGGGGUGAGAAUAGAAAGAAAAAAAAAAAAAAAGAAGAGAGAACUAAUUGGGAGAUUUUGUUUAGGAAAAUGAGUGUUUGAUUUUGAAGUUUUGGAUGUGUUUGUGUUUGAGAAAUGAAAGAGUGAAAGGAGAAGCAGAAAGUUGAAAAGGGUGGAGAAGGCUUUUAGGAACGGGUCUUAUGGGGGUGGAGUGAUUAUUAUUAUAAUGAGAAAAGAAAGAAAAAUGAAUAUUUAUUUAAUUAAAUAAAUUAAAGUGAAACAGUACAUGAGGUACAACAAAGGAAAAGCAAAUAAUAAAAAAAUGAAGCAAAAGAGAUAUGUGUGUUUGUGUU
This 1085-nucleotide long non-coding RNA is filed under the name Medicago truncatula (barrel medic). Its description in RNAcentral is "long non-coding RNA (MTRU_LNC006611)". Lineage: Eukaryota; Viridiplantae; Streptophyta; Magnoliopsida; Fabales; Fabaceae. The record is from RNAcentral.